Canis lupus familiaris (dog) is the source of this 1045-nucleotide long non-coding RNA. RefSeq lists it as uncharacterized. NCBI's taxonomy places the organism in Eukaryota, Metazoa, Chordata, Mammalia, Carnivora, Canidae. The transcript is spliced from 2 exons. The record is from RefSeq and is a predicted model, not a curated record.
GGAGGAGUCCACGAGCGGAAAGGGCGGGAGGGGGCGUGGCCCCGGGCGCUGCAGCUCCUGGGCCGCCCCCCUCUGCCUCGGUGCCCUCCGGAAACUGGAGGAGCCGAGGACCCCCGCCCCGUUCCGGGGAAGGCAGGCUCGGUUCCGGAGGCGGAGUGCUGGCUGCGGGCUAAAGACCCCGAGGAAGGAGGAUGCUCCGGCACGACCCCGAGGUUUCGGGCAGCCGCCCUGGCGGGGGCCCUGGCGGGGCCGCUGUGCCCAGUCGGUGACCUGGCCAGCUGGGCUUGCCUCCAGCCGGUCUCUGGGAGUCGCUGGGGCCCGGGUCUGUCCAGGGGGCCAGGCGGUGGCGGUGGUGCGGGGAGGGCCACGCGGCCCCGGGGACUCGCUGCGGCCCCGCCUUCCCCGCACCCGCCGUCGCUGCGGUGGACCCCGCCGGACCCCGACAUCGCCACCCCGCGAGGCCUCGCCGAUCUAGGACCAUCACUGCCUUUUCCUUCCCUGACUGCUUAACCCGAACUGCCUUUGCGGGGGCGCCCGGUGGCUCGGGCGGCUAGGGUCGGCCUGGGGCUCAGGACACGAUCUCAGGGUCCUGGGGUCGAGUCCCGCCUCCGGCUUCCUGCCCGGCCCGGAGUCCAGUCCGCUUCCCUGCCUGUGCUCUGGCAAAAAGAAAUAAGAACUUUAAAAAGAGGAAGAAGAGAUGCCUUUUUUCUCUCUCCACUGGGUGGAACACCUACUCAUCAUCACUUCUUUGAGCAGCGUUACUUGCCUCCUCGUUUUAGGGCUUUGUUCCUGACUCUCGCGUAUCCGUCCUUGGUGCCAUCUCUUCCCCCAGACCACAGGCUUCCUGACAGUAGGAUUGCUGCGACGGCUGGAAGGGGAUUCCCUGUACUCUCCAUGGGAGAAAAUGCCACCAGAUGCCGGACGAGCAUCAUCUUUGGAGACCCUUCCCUGAGCCUCCUUGAGCGGGAGAGAUGCUCUUCUCCAAGCUUCCCUAGCCCCUGUGCACCUUAUCAAUCAUCACACUCAACACGCUGCGGUUACUGUC